This 391-nucleotide ribosomal RNA is filed under the name uncultured eukaryote. RNAcentral's name for it is "SSU rRNA". It matches the Rfam family "Eukaryotic small subunit ribosomal RNA", at positions 587 to 972 of the family's 1831-position model. The record is from RNAcentral.
AGCUCCAGUAGCGUAUAUUAAAGUUGUUGCAGUUAAAAAGCUCGUAGUUGGAUUUCUGACGAAUCGGAGUGGCCCGUUCCCUUUCCGGGUAUGAGUGCCGCUUUGUAUUUGUCAUCCUUCCAGAGAGCUGCGUCUACCGUUCAUUCGGCCGGAUGUAUGCGAUCUGGAUCUAUUACUUUGAAAAAAUUAGAGUGUUUAAAGCAGGCUUAUGCUGUGAAUACAUUAGCAUGGAAUAAUAAUUUAGGACUUUGGUUCUAUUUUGUUGGUUUCUAGGACUGAAGUAAUGAUUGAUAGGGAUAGUUGGGGGUGCUAGUAUUCCGCGGCCAGAGGUGAAAUUCUUGGAUUCGUGGAAGACUAACUACUGCGAAAGCAUUCACCAAGGAUGUCUUCU